UACGGAGGGAGCUAGCGUUGUUCGGAAUUACUGGGCGUAAAGCGCACGUAGGCGGCUUUGUAAGUUAGAGGUGAAAGCCCGGGGCUCAACUCCGGAACUGCCUUUAAGACUGCAUCGCUUGAAUCCAGGAGAGGUGAGUGGAAUUCCGAGUGUAGAGGUGAAAUUCGUAGAUAUCGGGAGGAACACCAGUGGCGAAGGCGGCGACCUGGACGGACACUGACGCUGAGACGCGAAAGCGUGGGGAGCAAACAGG
This 253-nucleotide ribosomal RNA is filed under the name uncultured bacterium. Its description in RNAcentral is "partial 16S ribosomal RNA". It matches the Rfam family "Bacterial small subunit ribosomal RNA", at positions 524 to 776 of the family's 1533-position model. The record is from RNAcentral.